UGGGGAAUUUUGGGCAAUGGGCGAAAGCCUGACCCAGCAACGCCGCGUGAAGGAUGAAGUAUUUCGGUAUGUAAACUUCGAAAGAAUAGGAAGAAUAAAUGACGGUACUAUUUAUAAGGUCCGGCUAACUACGUGCCAGCAGCCGCGGUAAUACGUAGGGACCAAGCGUUGUUCGGAUUUACUGGGCGUAAAGGGCGCGUAGGCGGCAAUUCAAGUCAUCUGUGAAAUCUCCGGGCUUAACUCGGAACGGUCAGAUGAUACUGCUUUGCUAGAGUGCAGAAGGGGCAAUCGGAAUUCUUGGUGUAGCGGUGAAAUGCGUAGAUAUCAAGAGGAACACCUGAGGUGAAGACGGGUUGCUGGGCUGACACUGACGCUGAGGCGCGAAAGCCAGGGGAGCAAACGGGGAUU
Molecule: ribosomal RNA, 408 nt
Filed under: uncultured bacterium
Lineage: Bacteria
Description: bacterial SSU rRNA
Rfam family: Bacterial small subunit ribosomal RNA
Source: RNAcentral